UACGUAGGGUCCAAGCGUUAAUCGGAAUUACUGGGCGUAAAGCGUGCGCAGGCGGUUGUGCAAGACCGAUGUGAAAUCCCCGAGCUUAACUUGGGAAUUGCAUUGGUGACUGCACGGCUAGAGUGUGUCAGAGGGGGGUAGAAUUCCACGUGUAGCAGUGAAAUGCGUAGAGAUGUGGAGGAAUACCGAUGGCGAAGGCAGCCCCCUGGGAUAACACUGACGCUCAUGCACGAAAGCGUGGGGAGCAAAC
Molecule: ribosomal RNA, 250 nt
Filed under: uncultured bacterium
Lineage: Bacteria
Description: partial 16S ribosomal RNA
Rfam family: Bacterial small subunit ribosomal RNA
Source: RNAcentral